This 6481-nucleotide long non-coding RNA is filed under the name Sus scrofa (pig). RNAcentral's name for it is "lncRNA (ENSSSCG00000059325.1)". The record is from RNAcentral. Lineage: Eukaryota; Metazoa; Chordata; Mammalia; Artiodactyla; Suidae.
AUAAUAGGAAAAUUUUGCAACAGAGUAUGUGAGGAACAGAAGUAUGUUUUUUUCAAACAUUAAAAGGAACAAAAGGUCUGCCCCAGGCAACAAUUCAUAGGAAGUCCACUGGUACAGAAGGAAAGAUGUAAGAAACCACUAUACCUGAGAUUGCUGGCCAUCCCAUCAGAGGCAGAGAAUGUCGCUGACUGUGGGAGAAGAGUCUGGGCCCAAGGAAGCCACAAUCUCACUUACCUCUUCUUCUUCUUCUUCUUUUUCUUUUCUUUUUUUUUUUUUUUGUUGUUGUUAUUGUUGUCUUUUUUUUUAGGGCCGCACUUGUGGCAUAUGGAGGUUCCCAGGCUAAAGUUCUCAUCAGAGCUGUUCCUGCUGGCCUACACCAGAGCCACAGCAAUGCCAGAUCUGAGCUGUGUCUGUGACCUACACCACAGCUCACAGCAAUGCUGGAUCCUUAACCCACUGAGCAAGGCCAGGGAUUGAACCCGCAACCUCAUGGUUCCUAGUUGGAUUCGUUUCCGCUGCACCACGAUGGGAACUCUUCACUCACUUCUUAGUGGAAAGUCUGGGAGAUGGAGGGAUUCCUGAAGCACCAGGCUGAAGAAGGCAAGGGUCUUGUUGUCCUCACGUAGGAAAGCCCUCUGGCUCACCCAGACUGUCUAGACCAGGGGGUUUCCUCUUGAAUUUAUUUGCCCAGAUCCCUUUGACUCUUUCUUCUAACAAACAAAUAUAAAGAUAUAUUCUUUGUUUUUAUUGCGUGGAAAAUGAAAAAUCAAACAGGCAGUAGCUUAAAAAUGCAGAGUGAAUAUCAAACCUGACGUAAUUCUGUUCUUUUCAAAUAUGAUUCUCUGGGACCUCAAAGAGUCUCCUGAGCCAUUUUCCCACCAUUAAGUGUAACCCAUCUGAUCUUGUUCACUGGUCUCUCCCAAGUUGGAACACAGUACUUAGCUACAUGGUGGGCACAUGCUAAAUAUGAGAAGAUCCAAGGGAUUUAUGGGAGUAUUAUUAUUUUAUGUAGUUAGGAAGAUGGAACUGUGACUUAAUGGUAUGUUUAGAAUGUAUUGGCUUUUUUUUUUUUUUUUUGUCUCUUUGUCUUUUUAGGGCCACACAUGCAGCAUAUGGAGGUUCCCAGGCUAGGGGUCCAAUCGGAGCUGUAGCCACCGGCCUAUGCCAGGGCUACAGGAACAUGGGAUUCAAGCCAUGUCUGUGACCUACACCACAGCUCACGGCAACGCUGGAUCCUUAACCCACUGAGCAAGGCCAGGGAUCGAACCCGCGUCCUCAUGGAUGCUAGUCAGGUUCAUUGACCACUGAGCCAUGAUGGGAACUACUGGCUUUUUUUUUUGGGGGGGGGGGCGCACCUGCAGCAUAUAUAAGUUCCCAGGCUAGGGAUAGAAUCAGAGCUACAGCUGCUGGCCUAUGCCACAACCACGGCAAUGUGGGAUCCAAGCCUCUUCUGUGAUCUCACUCCAAUGCUAGAUCCUUAACCCACUGAGUGUGGCCAGAGAUCGAACCCACAUCCUCAUAAAUACUAGUUAAGUUCAUUACCGCUGAGCCACAGGAACUCCUAGCAUUUACUGUUAUUGAAAAUAACUUGCAUUCUAAUGUUUCAUUGGACAUAGUAAUAACAACUACUAUUUAGUAAAAAUUUAACAUGUGCCAUAUAUCUAUAUGUGUAUGUAUAUAUGUGUGUGUGUGUGUGUGUGUGUGUGUAUAUAUAUCUUUGAACUUGACAAUAAUUCAGCAAAGUAUGCCUUAUUAUCCCUAUUUUACAAAUGAGUAAGGAGUUUCUCAGGGAAGUCAGAGAAUUGCCAUGCAGAGGUGAAGCUAGAUCUGUCAGUCUGGUCUGUGAUUCUAAAUGUGGUCACUUCUUUACCACACAGACAUGGGGCACUACCGUAGGUUGGGGAACUCUCAAAUCAAGUCCUUAGCUUGUGGCCUGAACAUGUGAGUUAAUUAGAGUUACUCCAUCAGGGUACUCAGGGUUCUGAUUCAGGAAACCAGUACUCUAAACCAAGCUCAGAUAAGGUUGACUUCUCAAGAUACCAGUUUAUAAUUUAUGGAGGUGUUUCUAGGGAUGUUUCUUAAUAGAGGACCUCAAACACAAAUAUAUAAAUUUGAAAGAAUUUUGAGCAAUAUUUCACAUAGGUCUUAGUGAGGUCCAAUCAAAGACCUAUUAAUUUCCGUCCUAGAUAAGCAAGUAUGUAUGACUCGUGACUGAAUCAUUUCUCUUGAGUGUAUGUUUCCCUGGAAAAGCGCAGCAGUUUUAAAACACACUAAAAAUUAUUUCUAAAAUUGCCUCCAACAAGACCUUUGUCCUGUCUCCUUGACUCUGAUUGAGCUUAUGACUGCUUCAAACAAUAGGAAUUGGAAGAAACACAUUACAUACCUUCUGUAGCUAGGGUAUUCUGGGAACAUUCAGUCUUGUAACCCUAAGCUGAUGUGUAAGAUGUCUGACCACCCUGAAACUACACACAGAGGAAGCCCAAAUCACAUGGAAAGGCCACAUGAGGCCCACUCAUCAAUAGUCCCAGCUAUUUCAAAUCAUCCCAGAGCUAGAACCAGAAAGGUCAGUGAAGAAACUUCGAGAUAAUUACAGCCGUCACUGCUAGCUUUUUUGUGGGCGGCGGGGUGGGGGGGGACUUCCCUUUACCUGUGGCUUGCAGAAAUUCUUGGGCCAGGUAUUGAACUGUGACCACAGCUGUAUCCAGAGCCACAGAGCAGCAACACCAGAUCCUUAAGUUGCUAAGCCAUGAGGGAACUCUACCUACAGUCUUUUGAACCUACCCAACUGAAGUCCUAGACAUGGUGGAACAGAGACAAGCCAUUUCCACUAUCCCCUGUCUGAAUUCCUCUGAUUGAACCAGAUAAGUGCCUCUGGCCUUCUGCUUUCCCUGGUCUUUCCUAGUCAGGCACACAGCCUUAGAUAUAUGCAUAGUCUUCUAUAUCCCCAGGAAUAUGUUGGACCUUUUCAAAGUUCCAUAUGGUUGUCUUGUGCUCUAGCAUUACCUCUUAAAUUCCCAGCCUGGAUCUAGUUUACCCCAAUCCUAUCACAGCCUUAGGCAGUUGCAAUGUUGUAAGCAAUUUGCUAUUGUUUAACUAUGGGGGUAGGUACCCUUCAUUUCAUUUCAUCAAGCUCCGAGUUAAAUUGCCUAACCCCACAUUCUGAAAAUUAAGAUUUCCAAUGGAACUGCAAACCAUUCUCUGUGGAUGGUACAUUUAAUGGACCUCCAGAAGCUGUCAGAUCUCUCCAUUGUUGGCAAAGCUACCAGCUUUGGUUCUUGUAUCACUGAGCAGGGUAGGAAAGGGGAUGGAAAUAAUUAAAAUUAAAAUGCCACAGACCUUGGAGUUCCCAUUGUGGCGCAGCAGAAACAACUCCAACUAGGAACCAUGAGGUUGCGAGUUCGAUCCCUGGCCUCCCUCAGUGGGUUAAGGAUCCAGCAUUGUUGUGAGCUGUAGUGUAGGCCGGCAGCUACAGCUCUGAUUCGACCCCUAGCCUGGGAACCUCUAUAUGCCAUGGGUGUGGCCCUAAAAAGACAAAAAAAAAAAAAGUCACAGAUCUUGCCACUUUACCCAGAUUUGGUCAUGACCCCAUUGUCUUACCAAGGUGAUGCUGGAAAGAUGUUACCAGAAUCUGGUUUCUUAUUCACACAGCCAAAGAAUGAACUUCACAAACACACAGGCAGAAAGCAAGCAAAGUCUUUAUUACAGGAAAGCAAAUAGCUCCCAGGGCUGCUGGGAGGGUGGAGAAGAGCUCCCUCUCUCUAUUGUUCUGUAAGGGUUUUUAAUCCAUUAAAGAUGGGGGGAACCAACAUGGGGUCCAGAAAGAUGUGAUUUUCUCCCAUGGGCCUUGCGCAAUUAUCUUUAUCAGUCCUUGUCCAAUAGGGGCCUCAGGGGUGGAAAUGUCCCAUAAGUUUCAUGGUUUCUUUGCCUUUCUCUUCCCUUAAACUGAGUCACCAUUCCUCUCAUUCUUUUUCUAUCAGUUGAGGGGUGGGUUAGAGAUUAAGGUCCAUGUGGGCGUAGAUACACUUCCUAUAAUAAACAAGGCCUGUGGGGAAGGUACACUUCCUAUAGUAAACAAGGCCAGUGGGGAUAUUCCUCUCUGGAGCCCUUAAACCACAAAUGUUAAUCAAUGGCCAUAUCAAAGAAUGCAUGGAAGCCUAUGCUCCUACACUGACUACCUGAGUUGUUAUUCUGCCGAAAAGGUGCAGUAGUUUCCAUUGGAAAUGCAAUUUUGAGCUCCAUCUCUGGUUUUGGUUAACUGCCAGAGCUCUGAAUUGGUUUGUUUUAGUUGUUUUACCCAUAUUUUCACUAUUUUAGAGAGAAUGAUUUCACCUAGGCCCUCACUUCACCAUUUAGGAAGCUGAGACCUCAAUCACUUUUUAAAAGAAAGACAUUUUUGGCCUAUAAUAGAAGUUCAGUUUUUUAAAUUAAUUAAUUUAUUGACAUCAUAAAGUUUUUCUAUUAUUUAAAUAAAAAUUUUAGGAUGUGAAAUCCAUGUCAUUACCAAGGAGAGAAAAUAAUACUAUCAACAAACCUAGGUUAAAGGAAGGAGGUUUUUCCAAAAUGAUAUUUUGAACUUCAGGAAAAUUGGCUUUUUGCUAGGCUACUGAAUGUCAUCCAUAUUUGAAUGAUAUGUAGUUUGAAAGAAUAAGACACCAUGGAGAACAGAGUUUAAAUGACAAAGACCAUCUCCUUGACUAAACUGGAGUCAUGUUCCUCUGAGCCUUCUUCUGAUUAGGCCUUUCCCUUGGGCCCACUUCCUCCAAUGUAAGCAAGAACCCUGCUUAAUCAGUUUGGUGAAACUCCUUCACCCUUGAUAUCACGUCACCCUGGCUUGCCUAAAAUCCUGUCAGGUCAGUUUAGCACAGAAUUCCCUACCCUGCAGUAACUCCAUCUCCUGACUCCCACCCCCACCCUGCUCCUUAUUGUAUUCAUAGUUGAGUCUGAUCUCUUUCCCUCUUACAACACUCCAUUAUUGUAGUCCCCCUCCUUAGGUAAAGUCUUUCUUGUCAUCUUUAACAAGUGUCAUGACACAUUUUUUUCUUUGAUAGGAAUAGUCUGAAGAGUUAUAUACAUCAGGCAAUAGCUAUACUUCACUGCUUUCUAGCUAUUUCUGCGAAGAAAAUUUGUUCUUUCUCCUGCCCACCUCUUAUUCUGUCAAUGCCUCAUAAAAUAUGGAUGUGAAACAUAAAUCUUCCCAGCCAUUAUGUGGUGAUUCAGCAGAAUAGGGAAUAUACUUAAACUGCAAUUGGCCAUCUCUGCCUUGACUCCAACAGUGGUUCACAGGCCUGGCACCACAAGCCAUUUUCCCUUCUUAAAUCCCUCUGGACAACCAAUGGCAAUGACAGUGUACAGUGCAAAAGAUAUUAUGCAAAACAGAUUAACUUCAAAUUAGGCAUUGGUGUGCCCAUAGGUAGUAUGAAAAGGAAAUUAUCCAGAAAGCAAUUUGUAUCUUUAAUGAACUCCAGAAUGUGUAAUAAAGUCUGUGCAUUAGCAAACUUCAAUGCAAGGUUUUUGGAAAGAGUAUAUUCAGGAACAUCAAAACAACUGGGCAGCUGGCUGAGAGUUCUUGAGGACUGCUUUAAUGAUUAAACAAGCACUCCCCAUUCCUGCAGACAAGUUAACAUACAACUGAACUCUAUGUGUGAAAAUCCUUCCCUCUUCCCUCCAGCCAAAUCCAUCUGAAGGACUAUGGAAAUAUCCCCCAGAAUAUCUCCUUAGGGACAAAGGAAAAACAUUUGUAAAUGUUUUUCCACCACCCAAGUCAUCUGAGACUCUCACUGGGGCUUCUUAUAAGGGAAAAGAGAAGAGAACAAUUAUUCUCUCCAAGGCUAAGGAAAGAACAUAUCACAAUGGGUGCCUUCUCUCCAAUUCACUCCUGGAAAUGUUAACUUUAUGAAAAAUGCUGCCAGAUAUCAACUCCUUUAAGAAAACAUGGAUGAGGCAGUGUUGCCAUAAAUUGUUCCACCAGCCUCCUUCCUUAAUACGCACACACUCACAUGCAUACAUACCCAUGUGCGUGCACGUACACACAUACACGCACAUGGCAGACUAAACAUGAUGAAAUGUAUUGGUUAGUUUUCCCCAAAACUGUGAUGUGAUGUGGGGAUUGGAAAGAUGGUGUGGCUAUCUCUUAUUAAAUAUUAAAAUAUAAAAGAGAAACUAUGGAAUAUCCUUGGACAAGAAAAUAAAAGAUCUUUGUUCAACAUUUAGAGUGUCCAGUAUGUAACUGGCAAUGAGAAAUUACAAAGGUAAGAGUUCCCAUAGUGGCUCAGUGGGUUACCAACCCAACUAGUAUCCAUGAGGAUGUGGGUUUGAUCCCUGGACUCAGUUAGUGGGUUAAAGACCCAGAAUUUCCCUGAGCUGUGGUGUAGGUUGCAGAUGUGGCUUGGAUCUGGUGUUGCUGUGGCUGUGGUGUAGGCAGGCAGCUGCAGCUCCAAUUCAACCCCUAGCUUGGGAACCUCCAUUUGCCGCAGGUGCUGCC